UGAGCCGAUUCAGUGCUUUCAACUUUAUAUUUGGUACUUUAAUUAGAAUGAGGCAUUAUUGAUGGAUAGAUCUCGGACCAGGCUUCAUUCCCCCCAAUAUCCAUAGCUUCCUUCCUCUACUAAUAUUAACCUCCUCCAUGACAACUGCAUCACCAUCGCCAUCCGUCUCGUGGAUUUGAUUCUUUGGUUGAGGUAUUCGGUGCAGAUUGGUGUGAUGAUGAGGGUUUUUGACUCAAAUGUGAUGCUGCUGACGACCACGGCCAUCAUGAUUACGGAAAAAGGCCUUCAUCAUUACCUCUACAGGCAGUUUUUUUUUUUCGCUUUCAGCUUCUUUUCUUUUUUCACUAAAUAUUUUAUUUUAUUUUACUUCACCUUUUCUUCUGGUUUUCAAAAGAUACUCCAUGCCCUUAA
Molecule: long non-coding RNA, 411 nt
Organism: Asparagus officinalis (garden asparagus)
Lineage: Eukaryota; Viridiplantae; Streptophyta; Magnoliopsida; Asparagales; Asparagaceae
Exons: 2
Source: RefSeq, a predicted model, not a curated record